RNAcentral lists this ribosomal RNA (344 nucleotides) under uncultured Prevotella sp. RNAcentral describes it as "bacterial SSU rRNA". It matches the Rfam family "Bacterial small subunit ribosomal RNA", at positions 8 to 339 of the family's 1533-position model. The record is from RNAcentral. Lineage: Bacteria; Pseudomonadati; Bacteroidota; Bacteroidia; Bacteroidales; Prevotellaceae.
AGAGUUUUGAUCAUGGCUCAGGAUGAACGCUAGCUACGGGCUUAACACAUGCAAGUCGGAGGGGCAGCAUUAUCGAAGCUUGCUUCCUUUGAUGGCGACCGGCGCACGGGUGAGUAACGCGUAUCCAACCUUCCCCCUUACUAGAGGAUAGCCCGGCGAAAGUCGGAUUAAUACUCUAUGUUCUCCUUUGAUGGCAUCAGAUGAGGAGCAAAGAUUCAUCGGUAAGGGAUGGGGAUGCGUCUGAUUAGCUUGCCGGCGGGGUAACGGCCCACCGGGGCAACGAUCAGUAGGGGUUCUGAGAGGAAGGUCCCCCCACAUUGGUACUGAGACACGGACCAAACUCC